RNAcentral lists this ribosomal RNA (450 nucleotides) under uncultured bacterium. Its description in RNAcentral is "partial 16S ribosomal RNA". It matches the Rfam family "Bacterial small subunit ribosomal RNA", at positions 354 to 796 of the family's 1533-position model. The record is from RNAcentral.
GUGGGGAAUCUUCCGCAAUGGACGAAAGUCUGACGGAGCAACGCCGCGUGAGUGAUGAAGGUCUUCGGAUUGUAAAGCUCUGUUAAUCGGGACGAAAGAGCCUAGUGUGAAUAAUGCUAGGAAGUGACGGUACCGGAAUAGAAAGCCACGGCUAACUACGUGCCAGCAGCCGCGGUAAUACGUAGGUGGCAAGCGUUGUCCGGAAUUAUUGGGCGUAAAGCGCGCGCAGGCGGAUCUGCCAGUCUGUCUUAAAAGUUCGGGGCUUAACCCCGUGAUGGGAUGGAAACUACAGAUCUAGAGUAUCGGAGAGGAAAGUGGAAUUCCUAGUGUAGCGGUGAAAUGCGUAGAUAUUAGGAAGAACACCAGUGGCGAAGGCGACUUUCUGGACGUAAACUGACGCUGAGGCGCGAAAGCCAGGGGAGCGAACGGGAUUAGAAACCCCAGUAGUCC